UACGGAGGGUGCAAGCGUUAAUCGGAAUUACUGGGCGUAAAGCGCACGCAGGUGGCUGAGAAAGUCGGUUGUGAAAGCCCUGGGCUUAACCUGGGAAGUGCAGUCGAAACUACUCGGCUAGAGUAUGGGAGAGGGUAGUGGAAUUCCCGGUGUAGCGGUGAAAUGCGUAGAUAUCGGGAGGAACAUCAGUGGCGAAGGCGGCUACCUGGCCCAAUACUGACACUCAGGUGCGACAGCGUGGGGAGCAAACAGG
RNAcentral lists this ribosomal RNA (253 nucleotides) under uncultured bacterium. Its description in RNAcentral is "partial 16S ribosomal RNA". It matches the Rfam family "Bacterial small subunit ribosomal RNA", at positions 524 to 776 of the family's 1533-position model. The record is from RNAcentral.